GCUAAACGCGAAGAACCUUACCAAGGCUUGACAUGGAUUUCUAAGCACGUGAAAGCGCGUGACCCUUCGGGGGACUUCCACAGGUGCUGCAUGGCCGUCGUCAGCUCGUGUCGUGAGAUGUUGGGUUAAGUCCCGCAACGAGCGCAACCCUUGUGACUAGUUGCCAGCGGGUCAUGCCGGGAACUCUAGUCAGACUGCCCAGAUCAACUGGGAGGAAGGUGGGGACGACGUCAGGUCAGUAUGGCCCUUACGCCUUGGGCUGCACACGUACUACAAUGCCCAGUACAAUGAGAACCGAUGCCGCGAGGUGGAGGAAAUCUGUAAAACUGGGCCCAGUUCGGAUUGGAGGCUGCAACUCGCCUCCAUGAAGUUGGAAUCGCUAGUAAUGGCGCAUCAUCCACGGCGCCGUGAAUACGUUCCCGGGUCUUGUACACACCG
Molecule: ribosomal RNA, 438 nt
Filed under: uncultured bacterium
Lineage: Bacteria
Description: bacterial SSU rRNA
Rfam family: Bacterial small subunit ribosomal RNA
Source: RNAcentral